AUCUUCUAAUUUGUCUUUGUCCAGUUGUCUGUAUGGUGCAAGACCUAUUUGCCACGAAGUUUCUUUUUUUCUUGCAGAAGAUUUACUAGGAUUCAUUAAGAUACAGAUCAACUGGUUGUUUGGGCAUCCACGGACAAGAUUUCUUUUUUCUGUUAAGGGAAAUCAACAUUUUCCACUAAUGUUGCUUAUCAACAGGAAUUUCAGCACUGAAGGAAGUAACACAGUCUUCACCUCCUAACAAAUGAAAGUUAUUAACGUUUCCUUGUGAGACACACUGGAUCCCCUCAACUGCAGGUCCAUCAUGAAGGGAUGUAUGUGAGUUUGCUGGUUGAAGAGAGAGCUGGGCAGAGGGGAAAAAUAUUCCACAUCUUGACAAAGCUUACAUAUUUGAAAAUCUGGCCUCAAGAUGAAUCACCUGGAUUUCUGCAUCAUUUCACCACAUCCCAUAUUAUUAUCCUAAAGAAAUAAAUGGAUAUUCCUAUAGGAGCAACUGAAUUCCUUGCAAAUAUUUUCAUGAAAUCAAACCAAAAUGGGAGGUAGGUUGUGAAGUUGUAUUAAGCCUGCUGCCUGAUUCUCAUUAGACUCAUUCUACAUUCUUUUGAGU
Molecule: long non-coding RNA, 604 nt
Filed under: Vulpes vulpes (red fox)
Lineage: Eukaryota; Metazoa; Chordata; Mammalia; Carnivora; Canidae
Description: lncRNA (ENSVVUG00000000282.1)
Source: RNAcentral